UGUAAGUCCUAAGUGAACUAUUCUAUAUAUUCUUUUUUUUUUUAAUUUAAUUUUGGGAUUUUAUUAAUAAAAUAACAAAAUACCACUUAGUCUUUACACAAGAUGGGUCAACCCAUCCGGAAACAAAAACAAAAUUAAACAAAGCCUACUUCUAACCUUUGAAUCGGCCCAACCCUCUAUUCUAUUACGUAUAAGAGUAAAAGUAGGACUUCCAAAAUAAGUAUCCACUCUUCCUUUCCUCUUCAACCCUACAACAUCUGAGCCAUGUUUCACUGUUCAACCGUCGCUUCAUCUUGCUCCAGCUCUGGGUGAUAAACACUGUGCCCUGGUUGCCUCUUGUUUGUGCAUAUCUCAACUUGCAGAAAUAUGGUUGGUAUGGAGAUAAUGGGAUGCUCAAAACCACAAAUAUUCAGGGAGUACUAUGACCUUCAGGUUUAUCAAUUUUAAUCCAACCAAGUGACCCUCGCUGUGAGUCCUUUUUAUUGGUUAUUGUAGUGUAGGCUAGUUAGUUGUUUUACUCAUUUUGUUGCCUCGAUGGCUUGUACAUAUUUGCAUGUGAAAAAACUAAGUUUUAGCCUCUCCAUUCUUCUCACCUUUUUCUAGUGACAAUCUUAAGUAUGAGCAUUGUAAUUUGUCAUUAUUAAUUAUCCUCUAACUUCUAGCUGCUGAAAGCUUGUGACUGUGAAAUACCCUUUAUCUAUUACCACAGUAGCUAGAUAAUCAGCUAAUUGAUUCCC
Capsicum annuum is the source of this 737-nucleotide long non-coding RNA. RefSeq lists it as uncharacterized. NCBI's taxonomy places the organism in Eukaryota, Viridiplantae, Streptophyta, Magnoliopsida, Solanales, Solanaceae. The record is from RefSeq and is a predicted model, not a curated record. The transcript has 2 exons.